This 238-nucleotide long non-coding RNA is filed under the name Phoenix dactylifera (date palm). RNAcentral's name for it is "long non-coding RNA (PDAC_LNC020440)". Lineage: Eukaryota; Viridiplantae; Streptophyta; Magnoliopsida; Arecales; Arecaceae. The record is from RNAcentral.
GGGAACUCAGCCACCAUGCCCCACGUGACCGGCACGCGCGCCCUAGAAGAUUACAGCUGCCCCUUGAUCCAGUAACCCGACCCCGAGUCGGAUAUCUUCGGCCUCGCAGCCCGACCCCGAGUCGGCUGCCCCUUGAUCCAGUAACCCGACCCCGAGUCGGAUAUCUUCGGCCUCGCAGCCCGACCCCGAGUCGGCUGCCCCUGGAUCCAGCAAUCCGACCCCGAGUCGGCAAUCUCUC